UUAAGCGACUAAGCGUACACGGUGGAUGCCCUGGCAGUCAGAGGCGAUGAAGGACGUGCUAAUCUGCGAUAAGCGUCGGUAAGGUGAUAUGAACCGUUAUAACCGGCGAUUUCCGAAUGGGGAAACCCAGUGUGUUUCGACACACUAUCAUUAACUGAAUCCAUAGGUUAAUGAGGCGAACCGGGGGAACUGAAACAUCUAAGUACCCCGAGGAAAAGAAAUCAACCGAGAUUCCCCCAGUAGCGGCGAGCGAACGGGGAGCAGCCCAGAGCCUGAAUCAGUAUGUGUGUUAGUGGAAGCGUCUGGAAAGGCGCGCGAUACAGGGUGACAGCCCCGUACACAAAAAUGCACAUGCUGUGAGCUCGAUGAGUAGGGCGGGACACGUGGUAUCCUGUCUGAAUAUGGGGGGACCAUCCUCCAAGGCUAAAUACUCCUGACUGACCGAUAGUGAACCAGUACCGUGAGGGAAAGGCGAAAAGAACCCCGGCGAGGGGAGUGAAAAAGAACCUGAAACCGUGUACGUACAAGCAGUGGGAGCACGCUUAGGCGUGUGACUGCGUACCUUUUGUAUAAUGGGUCAGCGACUUAUAUUCUGUAGCAAGGUUAACCGAAUAGGGGAGCCGAAGGGAAACCGAGUCUUAACUGGGCGUUAAGUUGCAGGGUAUAGACCCGAAACCCGGUGAUCUAGCCAUGGGCAGGUUGAAGGUUGGGUAACACUAACUGGAGGACCGAACCGACUAAUGUUGAAAAAUUAGCGGAUGACUUGUGGCUGGGGGUGAAAGGCCAAUCAAACCGGGAGAUAGCUGGUUCUCCCCGAAAGCUAUUUAGGUAGCGCCUCGUGAAUUCAUCUCCGGGGGUAGAGCACUGUUUCGGCAAGGGGGUCAUCCCGACUUACCAACCCGAUGCAAACUGCGAAUACCGGAGAAUGUUAUCACGGGAGACACACGGCGGGUGCUAACGUCCGUCGUGAAGAGGGAAACAACCCAGACCGCCAGCUAAGGUCCCAAAGUCAUGGUUAAGUGGGAAACGAUGUGGGAAGGCCCAGACAGCCAGGAUGUUGGCUUAGAAGCAGCCAUCAUUUAAAGAAAGCGUAAUAGCUCACUGGUCGAGUCGGCCUGCGCGGAAGAUGUAACGGGGCUAAACCAUGCACCGAAGCUGCGGCAGCGACGCUGAUGCGUUGUUGGGUAGGGGAGCGUUCUGUAAGCCUGCGAAGGUGUGCUGUGAGGCAUGCUGGAGGUAUCAGAAGUGCGAAUGCUGACAUAAGUAACGAUAAAGCGGGUGAAAAGCCCGCUCGCCGGAAGACCAAGGGUUCCUGUCCAACGUUAAUCGGGGCAGGGUGAGUCGACCCCUAAGGCGAGGCCGAAAGGCGUAGUCGAUGGGAAACAGGUUAAUAUUCCUGUACUUGGUGUUACUGCGAAGGGGGGACGGAGAAGGCUAUGUUGGCCGGGCGACGGUUGUCCCGGUUUAAGCGUGUAGGCUGGUUUUCCAGGCAAAUCCGGAAAAUCAAGGCUGAGGCGUGAUGACGAGGCACUACGGUGCUGAAGCAACAAAUGCCCUGCUUCCAGGAAAAGCCUCUAAGCAUCAGGUAACAUCAAAUCGUACCCCAAACCGACACAGGUGGUCAGGUAGAGAAUACCAAGGCGCUUGAGAGAACUCGGGUGAAGGAACUAGGCAAAAUGGUGCCGUAACUUCGGGAGAAGGCACGCUGAUAUGUAGGUGAAGUCCCUCGCGGAUGGAGCUGAAAUCAGUCGAAGAUACCAGCUGGCUGCAACUGUUUAUUAAAAACACAGCACUGUGCAAACACGAAAGUGGACGUAUACGGUGUGACGCCUGCCCGGUGCCGGAAGGUUAAUUGAUGGGGUUAGCGCAAGCGAAGCUCUUGAUCGAAGCCCCGGUAAACGGCGGCCGUAACUAUAACGGUCCUAAGGUAGCGAAAUUCCUUGUCGGGUAAGUUCCGACCUGCACGAAUGGCGUAAUGAUGGCCAGGCUGUCUCCACCCGAGACUCAGUGAAAUUGAACUCGCUGUGAAGAUGCAGUGUACCCGCGGCAAGACGGAAAGACCCCGUGAACCUUUACUAUAGCUUGACACUGAACAUUGAGCCUUGAUGUGUAGGAUAGGUGGGAGGCUUUGAAGUGUGGACGCCAGUCUGCAUGGAGCCGACCUUGAAAUACCACCCUUUAAUGUUUGAUGUUCUAACGUUGACCCGUAAUCCGGGUUGCGGACAGUGUCUGGUGGGUAGUUUGACUGGGGCGGUCUCCUCCUAAAGAGUAACGGAGGAGCACGAAGGUUGGCUAAUCCUGGUCGGACAUCAGGAGGUUAGUGCAAUGGCAUAAGCCAGCUUGACUGCGAGCGUGACGGCGCGAGCAGGUGCGAAAGCAGGUCAUAGUGAUCCGGUGGUUCUGAAUGGAAGGGCCAUCGCUCAACGGAUAAAAGGUACUCCGGGGAUAACAGGCUGAUACCGCCCAAGAGUUCAUAUCGACGGCGGUGUUUGGCACCUCGAUGUCGGCUCAUCACAUCCUGGGGCUGAAGUAGGUCCCAAGGGUAUGGCUGUUCGCCAUUUAAAGUGGUACGCGAGCUGGGUUUAGAACGUCGUGAGACAGUUCGGUCCCUAUCUGCCGUGGGCGCUGGAGAACUGAGGGGGGCUGCUCCUAGUACGAGAGGACCGGAGUGGACGCAUCACUGGUGUUCGGGUUGUCAUGCCAAUGGCACUGCCCGGUAGCUAAAUGCGGAAGAGAUAAGUGCUGAAAGCAUCUAAGCACGAAACUUGCCCCGAGAUGAGUUCUCCCUGACUCCUUGAGAGUCCUGAAGGAACGUUGAAGACGACGACGUUGAUAGGCCGGGUGUGUAAGCGCAGCGAUGCGUUGAGCUAACCGGUACUAAUGAACCGUGAGGCUUAACCU
RNAcentral lists this ribosomal RNA (2901 nucleotides) under Escherichia coli. Its description in RNAcentral is "bacterial LSU rRNA". It matches the Rfam family "Bacterial large subunit ribosomal RNA". The record is from RNAcentral. Lineage: Bacteria; Pseudomonadati; Pseudomonadota; Gammaproteobacteria; Enterobacterales; Enterobacteriaceae.